UACGGAGGGUGCGAGCGUUGUCCGGAAUCACUGGGCGUAAAGGGCGCGUAGGCGGCCUGAUAAGUAGGGGGUGAAAUCCUGCGGCUUAACCGCAGGGCUGCCUUCUAAACCGUCAGGCUAGAGCACAGUAGAGGCAGGUGGAAUUCCCGGUGUAGCGGUGAAAUGCGCAGAUAUCAGGAGGAACACCGGUGGCGAAGGCGGAUCUCUGGGCCAUUACUGACGCUGAGGAGCGAAAGCGUGGGGAGCGAACAGG
RNAcentral lists this ribosomal RNA (253 nucleotides) under uncultured bacterium. RNAcentral's name for it is "partial 16S ribosomal RNA". It matches the Rfam family "Bacterial small subunit ribosomal RNA", at positions 524 to 776 of the family's 1533-position model. The record is from RNAcentral.